Molecule: long non-coding RNA, 726 nt
Organism: Acanthopagrus latus (yellowfin seabream)
Lineage: Eukaryota; Metazoa; Chordata; Actinopteri; Spariformes; Sparidae
Exons: 2
Source: RefSeq, a predicted model, not a curated record
CCAAGUGGAUAGGGGUUACUGUGUUUCUUUGUAUGUGCUGUGCCUAAUGGGAUGUGUAGUUUCACUUUCGGGCCAGCCUGGUGGGAAAUCUCGCGAGAAUGACGAAAUCACAUGAGACUUCAUGCGCGCGAACAGCAGUCUCCUCAGCGCGGGCAAUGGCGAAGUGUGUAUUCCUUGCGUGUAUGAACAGAAACGGAUAAAUCCGGUAACACAGAGAGAAUACUUGUUGCAGUUAAAGAAUUAGAGUGAGACCGAGCUGACAGACUGACGUUGGUGACCAGAAACUUCACGUUUAUUUGUCGUCGGUAAGGAGCGUGUUUACAUUGUGUCCGCUGCACCGGGAAUAAAACUAGAGGACCACGGGUCAGCGUAAGUGGCCGCAUGUACGUUCCCAAAAUGUUAAUUAAGACAAUUUCAUGGGCAAACUUUUGUUUAAGAUAUGCAUCUUAUCACCCAUGUAGAGGGGAGAUAGAGAGCUGUGUGUGUUACAUCCAGGAGAGGGGUGAGGCUCUCAAGCUACAAGCUAGGGAAAGAAAAUACAGCCACUGCUGUUGUCUGUUUUGUACUGACAGUUAUAAAUUAAGUCAGAAGUCAGAAAGGAAAAAGAAACAGGAUUUUAUUCCUACUUUUAUUAUUUGAUUGUUAUAAACAUCUGUCUCAAAAUUAGCAAAUUCAUGCUGUCCUUGUUUGAGGUCAGUCGGGGUAUUAAAGAUCCUCUAAAAUAUA